Non-coding RNA from Camelina sativa (false flax), 242 nucleotides. The record is from RefSeq and is a predicted model, not a curated record. Lineage: Eukaryota; Viridiplantae; Streptophyta; Magnoliopsida; Brassicales; Brassicaceae.
AAAACAUGGAUGAUAUGGUUCGGCUGAUAGCGCUAAUUCCGUAUUACAUUGACUUAGUUGGACGCUACAAGCUCAGCUCCCAGGCAAAGAACAAAACUGACGGUGCUAGGCAGAAGGCCGCUCAAGAAACAUACAAAGAACUUCAGAAUGUGAGGCAUGAGGCAUUGAUGAGAAAGAAAGCCGAAAAGAAGAAAAUAUUGGAGGAGGCAGAGGCAAAGCUUAGCGCCGAGGCACUAAGGAAG